Molecule: long non-coding RNA, 1055 nt
Organism: Oncorhynchus tshawytscha (Chinook salmon)
Lineage: Eukaryota; Metazoa; Chordata; Actinopteri; Salmoniformes; Salmonidae
Source: Ensembl
UCCCCAUCAUUAUCUCAUGUCAAGCUUGACACAGUGGAGAGCAAAGUUACAGUUCCCCAUCAUUAUCUCAUGUCAAGCUUGACACAGUGGAGAGCAAACCAAGAUCCCUUUGGAUCCUUUUCAUGACAGUACUAUAGAAACAGUCAGAUCUUCAGAACUAGCAGCCUAAUGAGGACAUGGGAUCUUUGAAUUAACAAUGAGUUCUAUUAGUAUUUGAUUACAGAAAAAUGACGACAUUUAUUUGGUCUUUUUUUUCUUCCUCUUCAUGUGAUUUAUUUGGCAAAAUGUACUUUUUUUGUAAGUUACUGUAAAUGCUGCACUUUCCAUAUGCACCAAUAGAGGGCAGACUCCGGCAGUAUCAGUGGCUGGCAUUGGUUCACAGUCAGUCCCAUCUCUCUGGAGAUGAUGCAGAUUUUAUAUGUAAAUCUAACUGAUUUGUCAAAGAUCUGAGCAGAUGUUUUAAAUGUUAUUUGGAUGCAAACUGUCACUUUAAAGUUGUGAAAAUUAAGAUCACUACAUUUUAAACUAUCUAGGUUUGGUCUUCAGGGGAAGUAGUAGGAAGGUUGGUUUGAGGUUAAAGGUUAAAGGCUGACCCCUGGAAUGAAGUGUCUGUGCCGCUGUAGAGAGACCAGUGCUUUUUCAAAGGUGUUAUAAUUAUUAUAUUAUUUUGUUUUCUUUCUUUUAUGGCUUCUGUGGAAAUUGAACAUUUUGGAAAUGUGUUGUUCAUUAGCCAUUUUUUGUUGAUGAUGCUGUAAUUAUAAAACAUAUCUGACUGGGAUGAACUUUAAUAUAUGUUGUUGGUUUUGACAUUUUGUGUGUUUCAAUGUGUUAAUUUGUUUGGUGAACACACAGUUACAUGUACACAUUUACUGUAAUUUAAUGUAAGGAGAGACUAACACUGACUUAUUUAAUACGUUUCACCAUUUAUCAAUAAGUUAACAUGACACACAUAAAGAAGUGAAUACAGUAAUACAGUCAAACCACAAUAGAUCAUUUAUAAGGUGAAGUAUCAUUCCCCCUUUUUAGUGGCACUGCAGCUAAUUUGGGCAGUAGCG